AUGUUACCAACUGUAGAGUCUGCAGCUCACAAUACGCAACAAACUUAUGUACAAGUACUUCAAUAUGGAUGGAAAACAUGCAAAGAAAAGACACAAAAGCCAGCUAUUCUGAACAAACAAUUUAUUGUAAGUCUGCUUAUAUUUCAUCUUUCGUUCUGUCUUGCAACAAUGAAUCUCCUCUCCUCACUUCUUCCUUCUCCUAUCUUUCUUAUUAAAAAAAACGUAGUGUUCCCCUUUUCGUUCGACAUUCGUCCCACGUCGUGUCCACUUCAUUUGCAACCCCCACAUGGUCUAUCCGAUUUUACAUGCAAAUCAAGUCCCUAA
Molecule: ribosomal RNA, 324 nt
Filed under: Triticum aestivum (bread wheat)
Lineage: Eukaryota; Viridiplantae; Streptophyta; Magnoliopsida; Poales; Poaceae
Description: partial small subunit ribosomal RNA
Source: RNAcentral